This 253-nucleotide ribosomal RNA is filed under the name uncultured bacterium. RNAcentral's name for it is "partial 16S ribosomal RNA". It matches the Rfam family "Bacterial small subunit ribosomal RNA", at positions 524 to 776 of the family's 1533-position model. The record is from RNAcentral.
UACGAGAGGCCCAAACGUUAUUCGGAAUUACUGGGCUUAAAGAGUUCGUAGGCGGCGCAGAGAGUAGGGUGUGAAAGCCCUCGGCUCAACCGAGGAAUUGCGCUCUAAACUACUGUGCUUGAGGAAUCUAGAGGUGAGCGGAACUGAUGGUGGAGCGGUGAAAUGCGUUGAUAUCAUCAGGAACACCGGAGGCGAAGGCGGCUCACUGGGGAUUUUCUGACGCUGAGGUGCGAAAGCGUGGGGAGCAAACAGG